AUUUCUCUGAGAUGUUUGCAAGCGGGCCAGUCCCCUGAGCCGAUAUUUCAUACCACCAGAAUCUGGCGCUCCGCGGAUGGUGAGCCUGCUCGGUGCGGCCGAGAAGCCUUAAAACUGGGACGACACAUUCACCUUGAACCCAGGGUUCAAGGGUUACAGCCUGCGGCGGCAUCUCGGAGAUUCC
Molecule: non-coding RNA, 184 nt
Filed under: Salmonella enterica subsp. enterica serovar Poona
Lineage: Bacteria; Pseudomonadati; Pseudomonadota; Gammaproteobacteria; Enterobacterales; Enterobacteriaceae
Description: 6S RNA
Rfam family: 6S / SsrS RNA
About the family: E. coli 6S RNA was the first non coding RNA to be sequenced, but its function was unknown until recently. It consists of 184 nucleotides that fold into an extended hairpin structure with a large single-stranded internal bulge.
Source: RNAcentral